Long non-coding RNA from Octopus sinensis (East Asian common octopus), 297 nucleotides. RefSeq lists it as uncharacterized. The record is from RefSeq and is a predicted model, not a curated record. NCBI's taxonomy places the organism in Eukaryota, Metazoa, Mollusca, Cephalopoda, Octopoda, Octopodidae. The transcript is spliced from 3 exons.
AAAUUGAGUACUGGGGUUCCAGAUAAAGUGAUGGAGGAUGCUUCCACUAAAAGUUCAAAAACUAUACAGCCAUCCGUGGAUAAAAAGAUUUGGGACAUAAGAAUAAUUACAAGUGAAGAUUUUAUAACCAAAAAAAUUAAUAAAAACAUUCCGAAAUCGGUCAAAAAGACUAUAAGCAAUGGUGAAAAUAUAUAUUUACUGCCAGAUAGUAGUGAAAAUAUUUUUAAAACACCUCAAAUUGAUUUUCAGUCUCCAAUUUUAAAGAAUUUUCCUAUUUACGGAGAAUUAAAGGAUUCU